This 548-nucleotide ribosomal RNA is filed under the name uncultured Glomus. RNAcentral's name for it is "SSU rRNA". It matches the Rfam family "Eukaryotic small subunit ribosomal RNA", at positions 548 to 1098 of the family's 1831-position model. The record is from RNAcentral. Lineage: Eukaryota; Fungi; Glomeromycota; Glomeromycetes; Glomerales; Glomeraceae.
UUGGAGGGCAAGUCUGGUGCCAGCAGCCGCGGUAAUUCCAGCUCCAAUAGCGUAUAUUAAAGUUGCUGCAGUUAAAAAGCUCGUAGUUGAAUUUCGGGACCAAUAUGUCGGUCGUGCCUCGGUACGUACUGGCAUCGUUGGUUUCUCCCUUCUGACGAAUCAUGAUGUCAUUUAUUUGGUGUCGUGGGGAAUCAGGACUGUUACUUUGAAAAAAUUAGAGUGUUUAAAGCAGGCUCACGCUUGAAUACAUUAGCAUGGAAUAAUGAAAUAGGACGUUUGAUUCUAUUUUGUUGGUUUCUAGGAUCGACGUAAUGAUUAAUAGGGAUAGUUGGGGGCAUUAGUAUUCAAUUGUCAGAGGUGAAAUUCUUGGAUUUAUUGAAGACUAACUACUGCGAAAGCAUUUGCCAAGGAUGUUUUCAUUAAUCAAGAACGAAAGUUAGGGGAUCGAAGACGAUCAGAUACCGUCGUAGUCUUAACCAUAAACUAUGCCGACUAGGGAUCGGAUGAUGUUANUUUUUUAAUGACUCAUUCGGCGCCUUACGGGAAAC